This 434-nucleotide ribosomal RNA is filed under the name uncultured bacterium. RNAcentral describes it as "partial 16S ribosomal RNA". It matches the Rfam family "Bacterial small subunit ribosomal RNA", at positions 29 to 507 of the family's 1533-position model. The record is from RNAcentral.
AGCGAACGCUGGCGGCAGGCCUAACACAUGCAAGUCGAACGAACCUUUCGGGGUUAGUGGCGGACGGGUGAGUAACACGUGGGAACGUGCCUUUAGGUUCGGAAUAACUCAGGGAAACUUGUGCUAAUACCGAAUGUGCCCUUCGGGGGAAAGAUUUAUCGCCUUUAGAGCGGCCCGCGUCUGAUUAGCUAGUUGGUUGAGGUAAUGGCUCACCAAGGCGAAGAUCAGUAGCUGGUCUGAGAGGAUGAUCAGCCACAUUGGGACUGAGACACGGCCCAAACUCCUACGGGAGGAAGCAGUGGGGAAUCUUGCGCAAUGGGCGAAAGCCUGACGCAGCCAUGCCGCGUGAAUGAUGAAGGUCUUAGGAUUGUAAAAUUCUUUCACCGGGGACGAUAAUGACGGUACCCGGAGAAGAAGCCCCGGCUAACUUCGUG